AAUAUUGCACAAUGGGCGCAAGCCUGAUGCAGCCAUGCCGUCGUGUAUGAAGUAAGGCCUUCGGGUUGUAAAGUACUUUCAGCAGUGAGAAGGUUGGAUAUGUUAAUAGCAUAUUCAUUUGACGUUAGCUGCAGAAGAAGCACCGGCUAACUCCGUGCCAGCAGCCGCGGUAAUACGGAGGGUGCGAGCGUUAAUCGGAAUUACUGGGCGUAAAGCGCAUGCAGGUGGUUGUUAAGUCAGAUGUGAAAGCCCGGGGCUCAACCUCGGAAUUGCAUUUGAAACUGGCAAACUAGAGUACUGUAGAGGGGGUAGAAUUUCAGGUGUAGCGGUGAAAUGCGUAGAGAUCUGAAGGAAUACCGGUGGCGAAGGCGGCCCCCUGGACAGAUACUGACACUCAGAUGCGAAAGCGUGGGGAGCAAACAGGAUUAGAUACCCUGGUAG
Molecule: ribosomal RNA, 441 nt
Filed under: uncultured bacterium
Lineage: Bacteria
Description: bacterial SSU rRNA
Rfam family: Bacterial small subunit ribosomal RNA
Source: RNAcentral